CAAUCUUGUGCUUGAGAUACAGGGAACAUUGCCUUCAAGUUCAAAACAUCCAUCAAGCAAGUCAAUGUGGAAAGGAGUGCUCAUAUCAUACCUUGUUAUAGCCCUGUGCAUGUUUCCCCUGGCAAUAGCAGGAUUUUGGGCUUAUGGAAAUAAGAUACCUACAAAAGUUGGAAAUUUGAGCAUAUUUCUGGAAUUCUACAGCCACAAUGCCUCAAAAUUUAUGAAGGGUGUAACAUACAUGUUGGUAAUAAUAAACUGCUUC
RNAcentral lists this unclassified non-coding RNA (262 nucleotides) under Hevea brasiliensis (rubber tree). The record is from RNAcentral. Lineage: Eukaryota; Viridiplantae; Streptophyta; Magnoliopsida; Malpighiales; Euphorbiaceae.